Chlorocebus sabaeus (green monkey) is the source of this 106-nucleotide small nuclear RNA. NCBI's taxonomy places the organism in Eukaryota, Metazoa, Chordata, Mammalia, Primates, Cercopithecidae. The record is from Ensembl.
GUGCUCACUUGGCAGCAUAUAUACUAAAAUUGGAAUGAUACAGAGAAGAUUAGCGUGGUCCCUGCGCAAAGAUGACAUGCAAAUUCGUGAAGCAUUCCAUAUUUUU